This is a non-coding RNA of Cricetulus griseus (Chinese hamster), 1223 nucleotides long. NCBI's taxonomy places the organism in Eukaryota, Metazoa, Chordata, Mammalia, Rodentia, Cricetidae. The record is from RefSeq and is a predicted model, not a curated record.
GACAGGGAAGAGAUGCGCCUCUAAGCUGCUUCUGAGGCGCCCAUCACUGGAAGACCCCUUGUGGUAGCCUCCUCUACACAGCUUAGAUAAAGAGUCUAUUAGCUUCCCCAGAGCGGGUUCUGGAAGCUGGAUCUGGCACGAAGCAGAAGUCAGCCCCUCAGCGGUGCCUCUUCCUUCAGCCUACCAUCCUCGCCCCUCCCACUGGAUUCCCGACACUGGAUUUCUCUCGCCAGCGUCCCUGAGCCCAGGGCACAGGAUCAUUUCUUCCUAAACUGUCCCUGGAGCCAGGGCAGUUAUGCAUCCUGCCCGCCACUGUUGUCAGUGCACACUUGCAGAGGUUUCUGUGGAAUUCAGGCUUCAGUAAACACUUGAGAAGGAGGAAGUGGGCCAAGAAAUCCGAGGACGAUUGCAUCAGGACUGGCGCACACUGCCCUUUCCCAUCUCCGUCUCUGAGAAGCCCUCCCUCUUUGUCCUGGAGGGGCGGGGAGGCAAUUAAGGCCUUGGACCAUCCCCUGGCCUUCUCUGGGCCCCCUGGUCUAGGGGAGAGGCUAAUGCUGGUGAGGAGGGGAACGCUGAAGAUGGGCCUCAGGAAUCGAGAGAGACAGCACCUAGAGAGGCCUGGUGGCAGGGUGAGGUUGGAUUGCUAGUUCAAAGAGAGCCUGGGCUAUGCAGUGAGACACCAUCUCAAAAUGAAAAAAAAAGAAAAAAGGUGCCUUGGCCAGUGAGGUCUAGUAGAGGAACGGAGAAACAAGGAGCCAAGGAAGCAGGCAGAGGAGAUCAGGAUCCUGUCCCCUCUUCUCUUCUUCCAUUUUACAGAAGCCGGGGAGAAAUAUGAAAACUCAACUGUGCCCUGCACCAGCCUCCGCCCCCAAGUUAAGGAACACAAAAGAGAAAUGCCAGGAGACGUGAGCAUUCCCUUCAGAGCCGCCGCUGGUCAUGAAACCCCAUCAUCACUUAAAUCGCCCUAUUUUAAAGGAUCUGUUGCAAAGGAUUUGGCUUGAAGAUUCUAAACUCUAUUUAGCUCCAGGCCUUAAUCACUGCGGAGCUGAGAAUUUUAUAAUCACAAAGAUGGAAGAAUCCUAGAGGUCAAGUGGCUCAGAGAUUCUCCAAUGUUUAGACUUUAUCAAAAUUUAAAGUUUGGAAAAUGAAGAGGGAGAUGUCUAAGAGCUUUUAAGUCUGGAAAAACACAACUAUCAAAUAAACGCAACUAUCUUGUGUGGCAA